Molecule: ribosomal RNA, 1521 nt
Filed under: Escherichia coli
Lineage: Bacteria; Pseudomonadati; Pseudomonadota; Gammaproteobacteria; Enterobacterales; Enterobacteriaceae
Description: bacterial SSU rRNA
Rfam family: Bacterial small subunit ribosomal RNA
Source: RNAcentral
AGAGUUUGAUCAUGGCUCAGAUUGAACGCUGGCGGCAGGCCUAACACAUGCAAGUCGAACGGUAACAGGAAGAAGCUUGCUUCUUUGCUGACGAGUGGCGGACGGGUGAGUAAUGUCUGGGAAACUGCCUGAUGGAGGGGGAUAACUACUGGAAACGGUAGCUAAUACCGCAUAACGUCGCAAGACCAAAGAGGGGGACCUUCGGGCCUCUUGCCAUCGGAUGUGCCCAGAUGGGAUUAGCUUGUUGGUGGGGUAACGGCUCACCAAGGCGACGAUCCCUAGCUGGUCUGAGAGGAUGACCAGCCACACUGGAACUGAGACACGGUCCAGACUCCUACGGGAGGCAGCAGUGGGGAAUAUUGCACAAUGGGCGCAAGCCUGAUGCAGCCAUGCCGCGUGUAUGAAGAAGGCCUUCGGGUUGUAAAGUACUUUCAGCGGGGAGGAAGGGAGUGAAGUUAAUACCUUUGCUCAUUGACGUUACCCGCAGAAGAAGCACCGGCUAACUCCGUGCCAGCAGCCGCGGUAAUACGGAGGGUGCAAGCGUUAAUCGGAAUUACUGGGCGUAAAGCGCACGCAGGCGGUUUGUUAAGUCAGAUGUGAAAUCCCGGGCUCAACCUGGGAACUGCAUCUGAUACUGGCAAGCUUGAGUCUCGUAGAGGGGGGUAGAAUUCCAGGUGUAGCGGUGAAAUGCGUAGAGAUCUGGAGGAAUACCGGUGGCGAAGGCGGCCCCCUGGACGAAGACUGACGCUCAGGUGCGAAAGCGUGGGGAGCAAACAGGAUUAGAUACCCUGGUAGUCCACGCCGUAAACGAUGUCGACUUGGAGGUUGUGCCCUUGAGGCGUGGCUUCCGGAGCUAACGCGUUAAGUCGACCGCCUGGGGAGUACGGCCGCAAGGUUAAAACUCAAAUGAAUUGACGGGGGCCCGCACAAGCGGUGGAGCAUGUGGUUUAAUUCGAUGCAACGCGAAGAACCUUACCUGGUCUUGACAUCCACGGAAGUUUUCAGAGAUGAGAAUGUGCCUUCGGGAACCGUGAGACAGGUGCUGCAUGGCUGUCGUCAGCUCGUGUUGUGAAAUGUUGGGUUAAGUCCCGCAACGAGCGCAACCCUUAUCCUUUGUUGCCAGCGGUCCGGCCGGGAACUCAAAGGAGACUGCCAGUGAUAAACUGGAGGAAGGUGGGGAUGACGUCAAGUCAUCAUGGCCCUUACGACCAGGGCUACACACGUGCUACAAUGGCGCAUACAAAGAGAAGCGACCUCGCGAGAGCAAGCGGACCUCAUAAAGUGCGUCGUAGUCCGGAUUGGAGUCUGCAACUCGACUCCAUGAAGUCGGAAUCGCUAGUAAUCGUGGAUCAGAAUGUCACGGUGAAUACGUUCCCGGGCCUUGUACACACCGCCCGUCACACCAUGGGAGUGGGUUGCAAAAGAAGUAGGUAGCUUAACCUUCGGGAGGGCGCUUACCACUUUGUGAUUCAUGACUGGGGUGAAGUCGUAACAAGGUAACCGUAGGGGAACCUGCGGUUG